GCAGUUGGGAGUAAAGAUGUCUGACUCCAGAAACUUCUUGAGGCUUGCUGUAGGCCCCUGCGCACUCUUCUCUUCUUUACCCAGGGACCCCAACAAGAAGGAUGAAAUAUGCCCAUCUUCCUGUAAAAAGCCUACAUGCUUCCACUCCAGGAAAGCAAGGAAAGCAACUGAGUUGAAGCUACAAAACCACAGCUGCAGUACUUUUGAAAUUACUUAUCUGAGAGGUAUGUAUUUUCUUCACAGUAGUCUUUCUGUCUGCUGGCUUUCAGGGACAAAUGGCAUAUGAAUAUAUAUAUUCUUUAAAGGCACCUUGUCACAAUAUAGUAUUGGUCUCCAGAUCAGUAAUAUGUUAAUAAAUUUACAGUAUUAAAAGACAGGUGUUUGGAGUUUGGACAGAAAGCCCAAAAUAAAAAUAGCAGCAGUAACAACAAUAUCAAAACAUUUUAAUUUAAAAAUUCACAUUUUUUUAAAACC
Molecule: non-coding RNA, 474 nt
Organism: Taeniopygia guttata (zebra finch)
Lineage: Eukaryota; Metazoa; Chordata; Aves; Passeriformes; Estrildidae
Source: RefSeq, a predicted model, not a curated record